Molecule: ribosomal RNA, 461 nt
Filed under: uncultured bacterium
Lineage: Bacteria
Description: bacterial SSU rRNA
Rfam family: Bacterial small subunit ribosomal RNA
Source: RNAcentral
GAUAAACGCUGGCGGCGUGCAUGAGACAUGCAAGUCGAACGGACGAUUCGGGCUUGCUCGAAUCGUUAGUGGCGGACGGCUGAGUAACGCGUAGGUGACCUGCCCCGAAGUGGGGAAUAACUGCCCGAAAGGGUGGCUAAUACCGCAUGUGGUCGCACGUUCGCUCGUGCGAGUAAAGCCGCAAGGCGCUUCGGGAGGGGCCUGCGUCCGAUUAGCUCGUUGGUGGGGUAAUGGCUCACCAAGGCGACGAUCGGUAGGUGGUCUGAGAGGACGAUCACCCAGACUGGGACUGAGACACGGCCCAGACUCCUACGGGAGGCAGCAGUCGGGAAUUUUGCUCAAUGGGCGAAAGCCUGACCUCGCGACGCCGCGUGAAGGAUGAGGGCCUUCGGGUCGUACACUUCUUUUCUCGGGGAUGAAUAAUGACAGUACUCGGGGAAUAAGUCACGGCUAACUACGUG